GCGUAGGAAUCUACCAUUCAGUGGGGGAUAGCCCGGAGAAAUCCGGAUUAAUACCGCAUACGCUCUUCGGAGGAAAAGGGGCCUCUUCUUGAAAGCUCCUGCUGAUUGAUGAGCCUGCGUUGGAUUAGCUUGUUGGUGAGGUAAUGGCUCACCAAGGCGACGAUCUAUAGCUGGUCUGAGAGGAUGAUCAGCCACACUGGGACUGAGACACGGCCCAGACUCCUACGGGAGGCAGCAGUGGGGAAUAUUGGACAAUGGGGGAAACCCUGAUCCAGCCAUGCCGCGUGUGUGAAGAAGGCC
This 300-nucleotide ribosomal RNA is filed under the name uncultured Oceanospirillales bacterium. RNAcentral describes it as "bacterial SSU rRNA". It matches the Rfam family "Bacterial small subunit ribosomal RNA", at positions 115 to 416 of the family's 1533-position model. Lineage: Bacteria; Pseudomonadati; Pseudomonadota; Gammaproteobacteria; Oceanospirillales. The record is from RNAcentral.